Molecule: ribosomal RNA, 474 nt
Filed under: uncultured organism
Description: partial 16S ribosomal RNA
Rfam family: Bacterial small subunit ribosomal RNA
Source: RNAcentral
UACACUCCUGCGGGAGGCAGCAGUGGGGAAUAUUGCACAAUGGGCGCAAGCCUGAUGCAGCCAUGCCGCGUGUAUGAAGAAGGCCUUCGGGUUGUAAAGUACUUUCAGCGGGGAGGAAGGCGAUAAGGUUAAUAACCUUGUCGAUUGACGUUACCCGCAGAAGAAGCACCGGCUAACUCCGUGCCAGCAGCCGCGGUAAUACGGAGGGUGCAAGCGUUAAUCGGAAUUACUGGGCGUAAAGCGCACGCAGGCGGUCUGUCAAGUCGGAUGUGAAAUCCCCGGGCUCAACCUGGGAACUGCAUUCGAAACUGGCAGGCUAGAGUCUUGUAGAGGGGGGUAGAAUUCCAGGUGUAGCGGUGAAAUGCGUAGAGAUCUGGAGGAAUACCGGUGGCGAAGGCGGCCCCCUGGACAAAGACUGACGCUCAGGUGCGAAAGCGUGGGGAGCAAACAGGAUUAGAAACCCCAGUAGUCCCA